This 253-nucleotide ribosomal RNA is filed under the name uncultured bacterium. Its description in RNAcentral is "partial 16S ribosomal RNA". It matches the Rfam family "Bacterial small subunit ribosomal RNA", at positions 524 to 776 of the family's 1533-position model. The record is from RNAcentral.
GACGAAGGGGGCAAGCGUUGUCCGGAAUCACUGGGCGUAAAGCGCACGUAGGCGGCUUUGCAAGUCAGGGGUGAAAUCCCGGGGCUGAACCCCGGAAAUGCCUUUGAAACUGCAAAUCUCGAGUGCGGUAGAGGUGGGUGGAAUUCCUAGUGUAGGGGUGAAAUGCGUAGAGAUCAGGAAGAACACCGGUGGCGAAGGCGCCCCACUGGAUCGGUACUGACGCUGAGGUGCGAAAGCGUGGGGAGCAAACAGG